Molecule: ribosomal RNA, 492 nt
Filed under: uncultured bacterium
Lineage: Bacteria
Description: partial 16S ribosomal RNA
Rfam family: Bacterial small subunit ribosomal RNA
Source: RNAcentral
AGUGAACGCUGGCGGCAGGCCUAAUACAUGCAAGUCGAACGGCAGCACAGUAAGCGUUCGCCCCUACGGUUGGCGAGUGGCGGACGGGUGACACAUACAUCGCCUACUACUUUGACGGGGGGAACAACGGAGAGCAACUUAUACUAACACCUCAUAUGACCUACGGGAGAGAUCAGGGGAUCAACAGACUUUUCGCGUCUGAUUGAGCCGAUGCCGGAUUAGCUAGUUGGCGAGGUAAAGGCACACCAAGGCGACGAUGCGUAGCUGGUCUGAGAGGAUGAUCAGCCACACUGGAACUGAGACACGGUCCAGACUCCUACGGGAGGCAGCAGUGGGGAAUAUUCGACAAUGGGCGCAAGCCUGAUCCAGCCAUGCCGCGUGAGUGAAGAAGGCCUUCGGAUCGUAAAGCCCUUUUGUUGGGAAAGAACAACUGCGGAUUUAUCCCCCGACGUUCUGACGGUACCCAAAGAGUAAGCCCCGGCUAACUUCGUG